Molecule: long non-coding RNA, 481 nt
Filed under: Monodelphis domestica (gray short-tailed opossum)
Lineage: Eukaryota; Metazoa; Chordata; Mammalia; Didelphimorphia; Didelphidae
Description: lncRNA (ENSMODG00000038626.1)
Source: RNAcentral
AGCAGGUGGAGCCCAUGGGCCCAGUGGGGACUAUAUAUGGUGGCCUCCCAAGCUCCUCUGUACUCAGGACAUCUACUCUCUGUUGAAAUCUUUCAGUUUCAGUUAGAUCUAAAGAAGGCUGAUCAUGAGGCUCCUCAGGAUAUUCUUGCUGCUCUCUGUGACUCUGUGCUGCUUCUUGGAUACUAUUCAAGCUCAAGAAUUCCCCCGAGUGGCUAUAUGCCAUUAUAAAAUUCCUGGAUGCACAAGACACUAUAGACCUAUCUGUGGCACUGAUGGUCGUACCUAUGCCAAUCACUGCGUUCUGUGUCAAGAAAAUGAGAAGCACCCUAUGCCUGAAAUGUCCUUCCUUCCCAUUUCUACCUCUUGGACUCCCUAGCUCCAUUGAGAUUCUUUUCAAUUAUUGCUCACUGCACAAAAUAGGUGAUUUUCCCAAAUCUUCCCUCUACUUGAGUCAUUUUCUCCAUUUUCCCCAACCAAUUAC